This 65-nucleotide transfer RNA is filed under the name uncultured Succiniclasticum sp. It matches the Rfam family "tRNA", at positions 5 to 66 of the family's 71-position model. From Rfam's summary of the family: Transfer RNA (tRNA) molecules are approximately 80 nucleotides in length. Their secondary structure includes four short double-helical elements and three loops (D, anti-codon, and T loops). Further hydrogen bonds mediate the characteristic L-shaped molecular structure. tRNAs have two regions of fundamental functional importance: the anti-codon, which is responsible for specific mRNA codon recognition, and the 3' end, to which the tRNAs corresponding amino acid is attached (by aminoacyl-tRNA synthetases). tRNAs cope with the degeneracy of the genetic code in two manners: having more than one tRNA (with a specific anti-codon) for a particular amino acid; and 'wobble' base-pairing, i.e. permitting non-standard base-pairing at the 3rd anti-codon position. Lineage: Bacteria; Bacillati; Bacillota; Negativicutes; Acidaminococcales; Acidaminococcaceae. The record is from RNAcentral.
GGUGUAGCCAAGUAGGUAAGGCACAGGACUUUGACUCCUGUAUGCGUAGGUUCGAGCCCUGCCAC